This 1663-nucleotide unclassified non-coding RNA is filed under the name Hevea brasiliensis (rubber tree). The record is from RNAcentral. Lineage: Eukaryota; Viridiplantae; Streptophyta; Magnoliopsida; Malpighiales; Euphorbiaceae.
UCUCUGUUUUGAAGUCAAAGCUCUAUCCAGGAAGUUCCCACUGACCUAUUGACAAUAAGCAAUAUAUAAUUCAGCACUAUAUAAUAAAGUAAAACAAGAGGACCAUUUGAGACCAAUCAAACCCAGAGACAAAGUGAUCAUUAUGCUAGCAACGGCAGAGAAAUGAAGAUAGAAAAUAGAUUUUUAAGCAAGUCAUAGAACGUGGUGUAGAUAGAUGAUAAAUUAUGUUAUAUAUAAAUGUGGAUCAAAGCCAGUGAUGUUAAUUUGGAAAGAAAUGAGGACAAAAAAGGAAAAAAGCAACAUGGAAAGAAAGGCCAAUACACAAACUUGAUCAAGAGACAAAACAUACUUUGAAUCAUAAUGCCACAAAUAUCAUAAUUUAAUUCCAGGUGGAACCAGCUGACAGUGUUAAAGUUAUUUUUAAGAAACUAUAAGAAAAGAAACAUGGAUGGAGCUGAGAUACAAGACUAUAAUGCCACAAAUAAUCAUAAUUUAAUAACUAAAUUCAAUUUUCACAACUUGUAUUCAGCAUAAUGUAUAGAAUUCAAUUUCAUUUAGACCAUUUUAUGUGGUUGGAAUCAAACUAAUUAAUGUGAUUUGAACUGAAAUUGCAAUUCACACAAAGUGGACAAAUAGCAAUUCAUAUUUAUUUCAACGUCAUUAUAAAUUUAUCUAUGAACAUGCUUCACUUUAAAUUACCUGUUCAUAAUGUUUAACAAAUGCUCACAACUUUCCUUCUUUUACUUGCAUUUUUAGCCAGUAGUGUGGAAAAUUCAUUUCAAUUUAACUUUGUUCUUCCAACUAGGCAACUACUGAACUGAAAUGCAAAUUCAACUCAUCAUAAUAUAACAAAUGUGAAGUCAGUGUUAAUUCAUUCAUGAAUUUGUCCCAGACAUUUAGUAAACAAAAAAUAUCAUGCAUUUCCAAUGAGGCUUUCUGGCACCAAAGCGGUGAAUACAAAAUGACAAAGGCAACUCUUGGGAUAGGAUGAGGCUAGAAUUGAGAUUUUGUUGGUUUUUCCAAGAUGAAGCCAUAAUGUGGACUGUCCAGAAAAAAGAGGCCAGUGCUCCAUGACUUAUAUGGUACACACUAGACAUAAAUUUCAAGAAGAAUCGGAAGAAUAUCAUGACACUUCACUGAAUAAGCACCAAAAAGCAAUUAAAAUUUCAAUGCCUCUACAACUUGAUCAAAAAGAAAUCCUGAAUUUUUUUAAAAUAAUUUAACAAAUAAAUCCACGCUUUUUUCAGGCCCAGCGGACCUAAUUAUGUUGAGGCUAAUGAACUAUACUUUUAGUAGUUUUGGGGCAAAAUAAAAUUCUAUUUGACGCAUCAAACUAGAAAAUAUAUAUCCAUUUCCAAAAUGCACCAAAGAAUUUUAGAGUUUCAGUGGGGUUAGAAGCAGUGUACAUCCGCAUUUGGUGGUACAUCCCUUUUGCUUUUAAUUUACUUGUUAUGGAAAGUCAAUAUUAUAUUCCUAUUUAGUUUAGGAUUUAUAUUGUUAUGUGUUAAUUUAUUUAGAAAGAAAGAGAAUACAAGAAGGAAAUAGAGGAAAAGGCAAAACCAAAAAAGGCUACAUCUUUACUCAAUUUCCGUUUAACUUCUCAUAAUGCAUGGUACAUAUUUAAAAUGAAAAACUACAAGAAAUAGAUAAGGAAGGCUUCUAA